This 460-nucleotide ribosomal RNA is filed under the name uncultured bacterium. RNAcentral describes it as "partial 16S ribosomal RNA". It matches the Rfam family "Bacterial small subunit ribosomal RNA", at positions 338 to 795 of the family's 1533-position model. The record is from RNAcentral.
CCUACGGGAGGCAGCAGUGAGGAAUAUUGGUCAAUGGACGAGAGUCUGAACCAGCCAAGUAGCGUGAAGGAUGACUGCCCUAUGGGUUGUAAACUUCUUUUAUAAAGGAAUAAAACGAGGCACGUGUGCCUUUUUGCAUGUACUUUAUGAAUAAGGAUCGGCUAACUCCGUGCCAGCAGCCGCGGUAAUACGGAGGAUCCGAGCGUUAUCCGGAUUUAUUGGGUUUAAAGGGAGCGUAGAUGGGUUGUUAAGUCAGUUGUGAAAGUUUGCGGCUCAACCGUAAAAUUGCAAUUGAAACUGGCAGUCGUGAGUACAGUUGAGGUAGGCGGAAUUCGUGGUGUAGCGGUGAAAUGCGUAGAUAUCACGAAGAACCCCGAUUGCGAAGGCAGCUUACUAAACUGUGACUGACAUUGAUGCUCGAAAGUGUGGGUAUCAAACAGGAUUAGAUACCCCAGUAGUC